Molecule: long non-coding RNA, 219 nt
Filed under: Lathyrus oleraceus (garden pea)
Lineage: Eukaryota; Viridiplantae; Streptophyta; Magnoliopsida; Fabales; Fabaceae
Description: Pisum sativum (pea) long non-coding RNA (PSAT_LNC005302)
Source: RNAcentral
UCAGUAUGUGUCGGCUAAUGACCUUAAUAGAUCGACACAUGCGCUCAAGAGUCGACAAAUAAGUGGCUUUUCUUGGUCAAAUCUCUUCAUUUCUCUCACUAGCAUACAUGCAACUAAACUCUUCAAUCUCUACAUCUCAUCUUUAAUUGUGAAAAUCAUUCAAUUAGAAUUAAUUAUUAUUAGACAUUCACUCCAUAUCAUCAAUCAUCAAAUUUUCAU